CUAAGAGAAGUAACGGAUUCAAAAUUCAUAAAAAGUGACACAAUGAGGGGACUUAUGGCUUAAAUCCCCCAAGGGAUCUAAGUAGCCCCGACCUGGAUUUACCACCCUGCUCGGAAAGGGGUACCAGCUAAACUCCACCUAGCGUAUCAAAUCCAUGUUAUCCAGUCUUAUGCAAAUGCAAGAGUGGUAGGGGAUAGAAAAGGAAAUGGGUAUCAAACCCGACUAUGAAUGGUACUAUGCUUAUGCAAAGUAAACUAUCCCUCUAUGUUAUAAAAGAAAAAAAAAAAAAAUCUAUAUGCUGACUCAAGGCUAUGCAUGUGUAAGUAAGGCCAAUCAGGACUGGCCAAUAGUCACUGUAAAGUGAGCAAGGCUUAUUUAUUAUAAUUUAAAAAGUGACCCCUUUAAAGGAAUCAUGCAUUAAUUUUUUUAAAAAAAAUUGGUUAAUUUUAAUCAUAUAUUCACUUUUUAUCUUGCUUAAAUAAAAUUUAACUUUAUAGAAAAUUUAACAUCCUAAAGAGCCUAACGUUGACUCCGUCCGAGCCACACCCAAACAAAGUGAUUUAAGAAACCUAGGAAAAAGCAUGCAGUUCUAAUGCGCAAACAAAGAAAACACAACAAGCCAGCAAAAUAGAGUUUCCAAAGUCCAUGGCAAGUGCCAUUCAAUAUACAACCAAAGUACAGAAAAGUAGUGGUGGCCAGGCUCCACCGACAACAACCUGGGUUCUAUCCCUAUGGAAUGACGCAAGUCUUAAAAAAAUGAGGUAUUUUAUUUAUCUUUAGUUUCUUUCCCUUCAGGCUCCUUGUGUUGCACCAUCCAAUAGGAUAUCCAAAUGAGAAGAAAUUCCCUAUAAAGGGUUUUCUUUUCGCUUUGGAUCCCUAACACAUCAAAAUAUCUCAUUUUUAAGCUUUCACAACACUUUAGAUCAAAUUACAUUUUAAAGAAAAUUACAUUGACUCCCUACAAAAAAUACAUAUUAGCACAAUUAUAAUAAUAAUAAUAAUAAAAAAAAUCACACAUCAUCCAGAACCUAGUCCUUAGGGCCAUAUUCCCAAUGGGCUUUUUAGCAUUCGUCGCAGUACCUAUUAAAGAGCAUAUUUAUGAUGAGAGCAUUUUUUAUAUUGCCCUUUAGAAAUAUGACCACCUGCAAAAGAUAUUUUUAAAAAAAGAUAUAACCACUUAAGGACAAGUGCCCACUCAUCAAUCAAAAAGGAAGAGAAAACAACCAAAGAAAACAAACCAAGCCAGAAACAAACAUCACAUCAUCACAUAUGUAAAAUGUAAAAGAAAGAAAGUGUAAAAGGGUUAUCCUAGCUACACCCUACCCUAGGAUGCCUAUAAAAAAAGUGUCCUAUCCAGCACCUAAGUGUGUGCAAAAAGGUGUACUUAACUACCCCAAAUUAGGUGAGUGGUUUGAGUUACAAAGUUGAGUUCUUAUGGUUUAAUUUAUUAGCCCUCAAGUUUUUAUUUAAUUGCUUAGCCAUUUGGGGUGAAUUAAUUAAAGCUUAAAUUAGGGAUUAAAAUUUGAGUUAUUAAAUUAUCAAGAGCCUAAAGGCUUAGGCCCUAACCUAUACUAAGAUUAUAAAGAAUUGAGGGGCAAAUAACUCAUCCUCAAUCCUACUCCUAAUUAAGGUUGAGAUUAUUAAAAAAGGUGGCAAGGGUUGGUUAAUCCUUGGCAAGGGUUGGUUAAUCCUUCCCUUGAUAAUAAUCUAGGACUCGAGGAAUGGCUAAGGGUGACACCACUAAGGUGGGCCUACUACCCACCAUAAAAAGAAAAUCCUAAGCUUCCUAUGUCUAAGGUAAAUUUAUUUUUAGAGGCUGACAUGAGAGUGGAAUGACACGCUAUCUAUAGAAAUGUACAUGGGUUCUACCUGACCUAAGUUAUAACACUUGGGUGACUAAGGUAGUUGGUUUAGGUUAAUAAAGAUGGAUUUAAUCUUUUCUAAGGUAGGGGCAAUUUACAUAGAGAUUUGCAUAUUUUUUAAGCUAAAGCACAAAAGUGAAUGUAAAUUCCAUAUAGGUUAAGGCACUAAGGCAUAUCUUGAAAUUCCUUUCCUCCUCCAAUAGGUUUAUUUUGGGUUGCUUACAAUUAAGAAACUUUAGUUUAAGUUCAAAUAUUAAUGUCUUAAUGCUUUGUUAAACACUAGAAGAUUGGUCGAAGAGAUUUUAAUGAUCUUAAUUUAGUUUCACCUUAAUUAAUGUAGAUUAUUAUAAACGAUUUAGUUAAUAGUUGAUAAGAGAUGUAUUUUAUAAAUUUUAGGCUUCUAUUCGACUAGUUAAGGACUUUUAAAGUUGCAUGUUGGUUAAGGGGUUGCAAUCAUGAAGCUAAUCAAAAGAAGCUACCUAACAUACUAGAGCUCAUAUUUUAUUUCAUUUUUGUAUAUUUUUCUUAUCAUGCUUGUGAGAGACAUUUAGAGGCCCAAAAAAAUCAUUAAGGAAACAAUAUUUAUAAUUAUUUAAAUAUUUUUAAAACCCAAGAAAAAACCAUCCUAGCGAUGCCCACUUCGUGUGAAAAAAAACGAUGCAUAUGACACACAUGGGUGGCCUACACUACAGGCCUAAAUGACCAUAAGAGUCUCUAGGUUUCAUGACAAGGGGGCAAGCUUUGGCCCACAAGGCCAAAGCUUCGUUAGUGGACUAACUUAUGGCCGGCUAACUAAACAUCCUAGCAAUUAUAUUUGGGUGGGAAAGUAAAAGCAGUCAAAUGUGUGUGCUAAUGUGUAACCAUUCGGAAAUACAAUGAGGAGCCUCUACAGGACUAUCAAGAUGUACCUGACCCGGGCGCGCCCACUCAAAAGUUCCCGUGCAAAUGACCCAUCAACCAACAUGUACAUAAUUCCGAAGGUACCUCAUAAGACAAAACAAAAAGAGAAGGACAUGGGUGAGCGUAGAUGCCAUUCAUUAAAGAGAUGCAAGUGAACAAAAUUUGUGACUUUAAAAUUUAUCUCAAAUGCAUAGGAAAAAGAAAGAUAGCAUGUGGGUGAAAAGUAUACAAACAAGUGAUGGUGGCAUAUAAGGUAAUGUGCGUAUUCGAAUCGUCAAAUGAAAUCAUACAUAUGAAACAUGAAGAUUCUUUCCUCUAAUGGCUAGCAAACAACUACCAAACAUAAGAUAUUUGAAAUCAUAUUAGCAUGAGUAAGGGGAGUUGCACAUGAGACAUACGACAUUUUACAAGUUUAUUCACACAUACGUGAAAUACAUGAAAGCCAAUCAACAAAAACAUACGACUAUAUAGUAUAUGUUUUAGCAUAUCCAUAAAUAUCUUUGCAAACAAACAUAUGAUUUCGCUCAACCAUGAUAUCCAAGCAUGACUUUGAAUGUAGCACUAUUUUUUUUUAGAUCAAACUUUACUAAACGUGUUCAUGUUUAUGAAAUCAUAAUAAGUUUAUAACACUAAACUUUACCUAAUAUACUCAUUUCAAUGAGAUUGUAGCAAAACCUUACUAAGAAUAUCAACAUUAAUGAAAUUAUAAAAUGAACAAUCUACUAGAUGGCAUGGAACAUAUACAUAGAUUCUAUAAAAUCACGAGCACGAGUGAUGAUCUUGAUAUGAAACGUAUGAGCUCACAAGUUAGAGAUCAAAUCAUGAAACCAAACUUGGCUUAUGUAUGCAAUGAAAUGAAUAAUCAAAUACUUGUAAACUCUAACCACCAUAUCGAAUUCAAGUUUGAUACAAGAUACCACAAAUUAAUAAAACAACCAAAUAGAUAUGCUUCAAAGGAAAUAACUUCAAGAACAUAUAUAUUUUUUUAUAUCACAUGUCUACCCUUGAUCGUCAUUUAUAAGAUGAGCACGACUAUAGACAAGAAUCAAGCAUAGGCAUGCAUGAUACACCUCCCACUAAAUCAGAACUUGCUUUGUCCCCCAUCCUUCUAUAUAUAUAAUCAAAUUACUUAUGUAUAUUAUUAUUUAAAAUUUGAAGAUGUCCAAUCGAUCAUGAGAUACGAAAGCAUACAAACAAAUCUAAUUGAAUGUUAUGAUAUGGAGUAACAAGAGCCGACCAUGAAAUUAAGGCGUGAACGUACACAUUGAUUUGAGCAUACAUACUAAGUGCAAAAUAUAGGCGAAAAAGCAAACACAAAUCAUCUUUUAUUCACAAUAUUUUCUUCCUACAACCCUCCCUUAUAAGCAAUUAUUCUCAUGUACAUUUUUAACCAAAGCUCAUUCUACAAAAGCAAACUAUAAAUUAAAUGGUGGAAUCAUAUAUACAGCCAUGAACUAAUAUCCCUUUACAGGAUGAACACAAUUGCAAGUGAAUGCAACAAAAUUAUCGUGUCUAUAAUUUUUAUAUAAAGUUCUAAUACAACUAAAGUCACUAUACUAACUAUUGAAAAGAAAUUUUCGUUAAAUGACUAAAGUGCAAGGUUAAAAUAAUGAAAUACAUGAAAAAUCUUCUAGUGUAGAUGAAAAAUAAGAAAAGAAAAUUUUAUAUCAUAUAGUCUCAAAUAUGUACGAGAAGCAUUCAAAUCAACCUGUGGAUUUUUUUUUACUUGUUACCAAAGAUUCAUGCAGUACUAUGACUCAAGCAUUUUUUUAAUUUUUUUUUCACAGUAAACAUUCCACAUGUACUAUCUCUUAGCAAAUCUAAUAAGCAUACUAACUGAUAUUUGAUCAUCAAAGCAAUGUAAUAUUUAGUCAAAUCCAAGACAGUUAUUAUUUACAAAAUACUCAUAUAUAAAAGAAAAGGGCUCUUUAUCUUAAUUAGCACGAAACGUAAAAAAAGAAACAUGUAAAUUCAACCAACAAAUACACAUACAUUUUUUUUAAUUAGGUAGAUGACCUCAUAACCAACAUACACGUGUAAGUCUACUAACAAAUCUAUGUAACUAGUGCAAAUGUGUCAAACGUAUAUAUGAAAAUCUUUAUAAUCUAGUCAUCGUUUCUUCGGAUAUACAUAUGCCUUUGGGAUUUCACAUGGAUAAGACUAGCACGUUGAUCUCUUCAAGGCAUUUAAUCAAAUACCUUACAUGCAUUUUUUAUAACAAAAAGGAUCAUGGCUUCUCAUGAUUUUUUUUUUUACAACCUAAUCAUAAAACUUCAAAUAUGUAAGAUGGUAACCAUAAAACAAAAAUACAUAAUUCAUUCAUCAAAUAGUCAUGUUACAUUAUUGAACAAAUUGUUUGCCUCUAAUACUCUCAUUCCAGACAAAUAGAAAUUACUUACAAGAAUACAUUUUCCUUACAUAGGAAGGUAAUGAAGAGGGUGGGAAAGAUGGAGAAGAAAGGAGUUAGGAAGAAGAAGAGGAGGUGGAAAAUCACCUGCAGCAAAGGGGAAAGCCGGUGGCUAGGACAGAUUGGCGACGAAGCUCUGACGGGUUCAGCUAGGAUGGGUCUCGAGCAAGCUUCGGCGGGGCUUGGGCUUCUCCUGCUCGUGCGAAUCCAAGGAAGACGAGAGCAAGGAGGCGGCAACUCCUCUGCUGGACGGACCGAUCAAAGGAUCGGGAAUGAUGGAGGGGCUUCGGCCUUUUUUUCUUGCUUGUGCGAAUAGGGGACGGAGAGAAGACCGGAGCUCGGCGUCUAGUCUUGGGGUUCACAAGCAGCAGAGAUGGAGCGGAGGGAAAUAGAGAGGCUUUGGCUUUUGCGCGAGAAAGGGACUUCGGCUCCUCUUGCGAACGGAGAAGAGACGGAGAGCGGGUGGUGGAAUUUUUCUUGAGGGAGACCAAGCUAGGGCCGGCUGUUCUGCAUGGAUGAUUGUUGUGUCUU
This is a long non-coding RNA of Dendrobium catenatum, 5700 nucleotides long. RefSeq lists it as uncharacterized. NCBI's taxonomy places the organism in Eukaryota, Viridiplantae, Streptophyta, Magnoliopsida, Asparagales, Orchidaceae. The record is from RefSeq and is a predicted model, not a curated record. The transcript has 2 exons.